Molecule: ribosomal RNA, 533 nt
Filed under: uncultured bacterium
Lineage: Bacteria
Description: bacterial SSU rRNA
Rfam family: Bacterial small subunit ribosomal RNA
Source: RNAcentral
AUUAGAGUUUGAUCCUGGCUCAGAUUGAACGCUGGCGGCAUGCCUUACACAUGCAAGUCGAACGGCAGCACGGAGCUUGCUCUGGUGGCGAGUGGCGAACGGGUGAGUAAUAUAUCGGAACGUACCCUAGAGUGGGGGAUAACGUAGCGAAAGUUACGCUAAUACCGCAUACGAUCUAAGGAUGAAAGUGGGGGAUCGCAAGACCUCAUGCUCGUGGAGCGGCCGAUAUCUGAUUAGCUAGUUGGUAGGGUAAAAGCCUACCAAGGCAUCGAUCAGUAGCUGGUCUGAGAGGACGACCAGCCACACUGGAACUGAGACACGGUCCAGACUCCUACGGGAGGCAGCAGUGGGGAAUUUUGGACAAUGGGCGAAAGCCUGAUCCAGCAAUGCCGCGUGAGUGAAGAAGGCCUUCGGGUUGUUAAGCUCUUUUGUCAGGGAAGAAACGGUGAAAGCUAAUAUCUUUUGCUAAUGACGGUACCUGAAGAAUAAGCACCGGCUAACUACGUGCCAGCAGCCGCGGUAAUACGUAGGGU